Molecule: non-coding RNA, 972 nt
Filed under: Prodotiscus insignis
Lineage: Eukaryota; Metazoa; Chordata; Aves; Piciformes; Indicatoridae
Description: 12S ribosomal RNA
Rfam family: Bacterial small subunit ribosomal RNA
Source: RNAcentral
AAAGACUUAGUCCUAACCUUACUGUUAGUUUCUACCAAAUCUAUACAUGCAAGUAUCCGCGUCACAGUGUAAAUGCCCUUUAACCCUUAUCAAGGCAAAAGGAACGGGUAUCAGGCACACUCUUAAUUGUAGCCUAAGACACCUUGCUUAGCCACACCCCCACGGGUACUCAGCAGUAAUUAACAUUAAGCAAUGAGUGAAAACUCGACUUAGUUAUGGUAAGACAGGGCCGGUAAAUCUUGUGCCAGCCACCGCGGUCACACAAGAGACCCAAAUUAACCGUAUACGGCGUAAAGAGUGGCCCAACAUGUAUCGCUUCCCCAGCUGAGGCCAAAAUGUGUCUGAGCUGUCAUAAGCCUAAGACACACCCAAACCCAAUAUCAACAUACCCUCAGCUGCCAGCGACCAACCCACCCCACGAAAGCCAGGGGACAAACUGGGAUUAGAUACCCCACUAUGCCUGGCCCUAAAUUAAAAUGCUUUCUACUACCAAAGCAUGCGCCAGGGAACUACGAGCACAAACGCUUAAAACCCUAAGGACUUGGCGGUAUCCCAAACCCACCUAGAGGAGCCUGUUCUGUAAUCGAUAACCCGCGCUACACCCGACCCCUCCUUGCCAUGUGCAGCCUAUAUACCGCCGUCGCCAGCUCACCUCCUCUGAGAGAAUAAUAGUGAGCACAACAGCUUACCCCGCUAAAAAGACAGGUCAAGGUAUAGCCCAUGGGGGGGUAGAAAUGGGCUACAUUUUCUGGUACAGAUUAUUAACGAAAGAGGAUCUGAAACUCACCUCACGAAGGCGGAUUUAGCAGUAAAACACGACCAUAAUGCCUGUUUUAAACCGGCCCUGGGAUACGUACAUACCGCCCGUCACCCUCCUCACAAGCAACACUACUUAUAAAUUAAUACCCCAGUCAGCUAAAGAUGAGGUAAGUCGUAACAAGGUAAGUGUACCGGAAGGUGCACUUAGAAUAC